UACGAAGGGGGGCUAGCGUUGCUCGGAAUUACUGGGCGUAAAGGGAGCGUAGGCGGAUAGUUCAGUCAGAGGUGAAAAUCCCAGGGCUCAACCCUGGAACUGCCUUUUGAUACUGGCCAUCUUGAGUAUGGGAGAGGUGUGUGGAACUCCGAGUGUAGAGGUGAAAAUUCGUAGAUAUUCGGAAGAACACCAGUGGCGAAGGCGACACACUGGCCCAUUACUGACGCUGAGGCUCGAAAAGCGUGGGGGAGCAAACAAGG
This 260-nucleotide ribosomal RNA is filed under the name uncultured bacterium. RNAcentral's name for it is "partial 16S ribosomal RNA". It matches the Rfam family "Bacterial small subunit ribosomal RNA", at positions 524 to 777 of the family's 1533-position model. The record is from RNAcentral.